This is a long non-coding RNA of Nicotiana attenuata, 1552 nucleotides long. RefSeq lists it as uncharacterized. NCBI's taxonomy places the organism in Eukaryota, Viridiplantae, Streptophyta, Magnoliopsida, Solanales, Solanaceae. The record is from RefSeq and is a predicted model, not a curated record. The transcript is spliced from 6 exons.
UAAUGUAAAUUAAAUAACAAAAACAUUCCACUAUCGACAUCUCCAAGCCUAUCUUCCAAUAAACCCUUUCAUCUCCCCAUAGAACUCAAAGGCAUCGACACCUCCAAAGCUCUCAAUACCUUUCACCUUGAGAAUUCCAUCUAUGGCUAACUCUAAAUCCCCAUAUCCCCAAAUCAAAUCAUUGGCCUAACCCAAUAUCCCCAAAUCUAAGUGUCGAUCAUUUUUUGUUAUUCGAAGAAGAGAAGGCAUCAAAGAGAACAAAGGAAAAAUCUAAAAGACACGAUUAAAGGUGAGAAAACUACUUCAAUCGCGAGAAAGUUUCGACCCAAAAGGCACUAUGUGAGAAACUAACUUCAGUUUUUGUUUUGUAGGAAAAUAUUGGGGAGGAGGAGGUAGGGUUUGGUGGUCGUUGAAGAAAUUAUGAGAGAUUUGGGAUCCUUUUGUUCGGUUGUUGAGCUCGAUCCUUCUCCAACAUCCUCUUCUGGCUCAGCUGUGCUACAUUUUGAGUUUCUUGACCUUAAUACACCAAAAUUGCUGUUGUUUCCAGAUCUUUCCAAUCUUUAAAUGAAGGAAGCACUGAUGACAUGUCUUAAUUAGUGAGGUUGUGAGAAUAUUUGGGGGCGGAGAUGAAGCUAGCUGCUCUGUUGACUUCUGCUGGUGUCAAUACUGCAGUGUGCGUAGUGCUGUUCUCCUUGUAUUCGGUUUUAAGGAAACAACCGAGGUUUGUAAAUGUUUACUUUGGCGCGAAGAUUGCUCAAGUACGAGCAAGACAACAGGAUGCCUUUCGCUUUGAUAGAUUUGUUCCUUAUCCAAGUUGGAUCCUUAAGGCACGGGAGACUUCUGAUGAAAAAAUAUGUGUUACUGGGGGAUUGGAUGCAGUAGUAUUUGUGCGGAUGAUUGUUUUCAGGUACAAAAAUUGCACCUGUCAUCGAGGGUGUUGUUCAGCACAUAGCAUCAAGAAGGUUGGAAAUCGGGGGUUUGGAUUUGGAAAAGUUACUAGCAGAUGAGCUUACUAAAUCAAAUCCAACAGUGAAACUCAAUAUUUCUGAUGUGGAAAAAUUGAAAGAGCGUUAUGCAUUCUGUGCUGAUGAUGAUAUUGCCUAUGAGAAGCUUCAACAAUCAUGCCUGGAAGAGAAACAUACUCUGCCGGAUGGCCAGGUAAUCACAAUUGGAAAAGAAAGAUACACAGUUGGUGAGGCAUUGUUUCAACCAUCUAUAUUGGGUAAUGAUACUCAUGGAAUAGUCGAGCAGCUUGUUCAUAGUAUUUCGUCUGUGUCGUCUGAAAAUCACCGCCAGCUGCUAGAGAACACAGUACUUUGUGGUGGCACUGCUACUAUAACCGGUGCAGCAAUUGCGGAUGAAAACAGUGACGAAGACCUUACUUGAGUGUUGUUGAUCGUUGUUAGACUUUCUAUUAUUAUUUUUAAGGAUAUAUUUUAGUUUAGAACUUUCUGUAUGCGAACUAUCUAUUUUGACUUUUGAAUUGUCGACCAAACAAUGUAUCCAUAUUUUAUUUUUAUACAUGGAUAAUGCUAGUUGGAUAUGGUGUAAA